Molecule: ribosomal RNA, 1033 nt
Filed under: uncultured High G+C Gram-positive bacterium Sva0985
Lineage: Bacteria; Bacillati; Actinomycetota; Actinomycetes
Description: bacterial SSU rRNA
Rfam family: Bacterial small subunit ribosomal RNA
Source: RNAcentral
AAAAUGACGGUCCUCCAGAAGAAGCUCCGGCCAACUACGUGCCAGCAGCCGCGGUAAUACGUAGGGAGCAAACGUUGUCCGGAUUUAUUGGGCGUAAAGGGCUCGUAGGCGGUUCAACAAGUCGAUCGUGAAAGCCCGGGCUCAACCCCGGGAGGCCGGUCGAAACUGUUGUGACUAGAGUUCGGUAGAGGUGAGUGGAAUUCUCGGUGUAGCGGUGGAAUGCGCAGAUAUCGAGAGGAACACCAUUAGCGAAGGCGGCUCACUGGGCCGAUACUGACGCUGAGGAGCGAAAGCGUGGGGAGCAAACAGGAUUAGAAACCCUGGUAGUCCACGCCGUAAACGAUGAACACUAGGUGUGGCGGACUGAUUCAUGUCUGCUGCGCCGUAGCUAACGCAUUAAGUGUUCCGCCUGGGGAGUACGGCCGCAAGGCUAAAACUCAAAGGAAUUGACGGGGCCCCGCACAAGCGGCGGAGCAUGCGGCUUAAUUCGAUGCAACCCGAAGAACCUUACCUGGGUUUGACUCAUGGGUCUAGCUGUGGAAACACAGUGUGCUUACGCGCCCAUGACAGGUGGUGCAUGGCUGUCGUCAGCUCGUGUCGUGAGAUGUUGGGUUAAGUCCCGCAACGAGCGCAACCCUUGUCCUAUGUUGCCAGCACGUAAUGGUGGGGACUCAUGGGAGACUGCCGGGGACAACUCGGAGGAAGGCGAGGACGAUGUCAAGUCAUCAUGCCCCUUAUAUCCAGGGCUGCACGCAUGCUACAAUGGGCGAUACAAUGGGCUGCGAUCCCGCGAGGGUCAGCUAAUCCCGUAAAGUCGUCCUCAGUUCGGAUUGGAGUCUGCAACUCGACUCCAUGAAGCCGGAGUCGCUAGUAAUCGUGGAUCAGCAAAGCCACGGUGAAUACGUUCUCGGGGCUUGUACACACCGCCCGUCACAUCACGGAAGUCGGUAACACCCGAAGUCAGUGGCCUAACCCUUGUGGAAGGAGCUGCCGAAGGUGGGAUUGGUGACUGGGGUGAAGUCGUAACAAGGUA